AACGAACGCUGGCGGCAUGCCUAACACAUGCAAGUCGAACGAGACCUUCGGGUCUAGUGGCGCACGGGUGCGUAACGCGUGGGAACCUGCCCUUAGGUUCGGAAUAACUCCCCGACAGGGGUGCUAAUACCGGAUAAUGUCUUCGGACCAAAGAUUUAUCGCCCUUGGAUGGGCCCGCGUUGGAUUAGCUAGUUGGUAGGGUAAAAGCCUACCAAGGCGACGAUCCAUAGCUGGUCUGAGAGGAUGAUCAGCCACACUGGGACUGGGACACGGCCCAGACUCCUACGGGAGGCAGCAGUGGGGAAUAUUGGACAAUGGGCGAAAGCCUGAUCCAGCACUGCCGCGUGAGUGAUGAAGGCCUGAGGGUUGUAAAGCUCUUUUACCCGGGAUGAUAAUGACAGUACCGGGAGAAUAAGCUCCGGCUAACUCCGUG
This 433-nucleotide ribosomal RNA is filed under the name uncultured bacterium. RNAcentral describes it as "partial 16S ribosomal RNA". It matches the Rfam family "Bacterial small subunit ribosomal RNA", at positions 29 to 507 of the family's 1533-position model. The record is from RNAcentral.